UCUCCGUAGGUGAACCUGCGGAGGGAUCAUUACCAGAGAUGGCGGGCCCCCGCCCCCCCGUCCCCAACCCUUUGUUGACCAAACCACUUUUGCCCCGGGGGCAGAGCGGCCGCCGCCUCCCCCGGAAGACCAUUUAACCCUGUCUCUGUACGUCGGAGUCUUCGAUAAAUAAAUGAAAACUUUUAACAACGGAUCUCUUGGUUCUG
This 206-nucleotide unclassified non-coding RNA is filed under the name plant metagenome. Its description in RNAcentral is "partial contains small subunit ribosomal RNA, internal transcribed spacer 1, and 5.8S ribosomal RNA". The record is from RNAcentral.